UCUCCUCCAUGUAUGGUGUGUCCUCUAGGUCUACUCCAUGUAUGGUGUGUCCUCUAGGUCUACUCCAUGUAUGGUGUGUCCUCUAGGUCUACUCCAUGUAUGGUGUGUCC
This is a long non-coding RNA of Homarus americanus (American lobster), 110 nucleotides long. RefSeq lists it as uncharacterized. Lineage: Eukaryota; Metazoa; Arthropoda; Malacostraca; Decapoda; Nephropidae. The transcript is spliced from 3 exons. The record is from RefSeq and is a predicted model, not a curated record.